Molecule: long non-coding RNA, 498 nt
Filed under: Gallus gallus (chicken)
Lineage: Eukaryota; Metazoa; Chordata; Aves; Galliformes; Phasianidae
Source: RNAcentral
CUUUGUGCAGCAGCAGAUGUUGAUGCCCUAGAAGCACGGUGCGGAGCACAUCCUGGGAUCAAGGUGCCACGGACUGGAAAAUGCUGCUGUGGCGGAGUUCCUGUGUGAAGACAAAACUCCCAGUCGCCCAGAAAUGUGGAGGCAGAAGAGCAGUGACAAGGCAUUGUGUUCAACUUAAGAAAUGAACGCAUGAAGAAUAGCUUUGUUUGCAUUCUGGUAACUGCUGAGGCUUUGGCUGACGACAGCUUUCAGCUGCACCUGAACUAGGCUGGAUUUGUCUCCUGCUCUCCAUAGGUGUAUGGGAACUGUAUAAUCACAGCCUGACCCUCUGUUUCACCACCUGAGGCGAGUGCUGAGUCAGCUGCAGGGGCACAGGUGAUGGCAGUUUCACCUGAGUGACCGGAAGGGGUGGACCCUGGCUGCAGCCCUGCUAGACCCCAUGUAAGGGCUGACUCCCAAGGAGGAAGGAUCUCUACCUGGAGGUCACCCUUAGUGGAG